This 116-nucleotide ribosomal RNA is filed under the name Mesobacillus foraminis. The record is from RNAcentral. Lineage: Bacteria; Bacillati; Bacillota; Bacilli; Caryophanales; Bacillaceae.
UCUGGCGGCGAUGGCGAGAAGGUCACACCCGUUCCCAUGCCGAACACGGAAGUUAAGUUUCUCAGCGCCGAUGGUAGUUGGGGGUUUCCCCCUGUGAGAGUAGGACGUUGCCAGGC